Molecule: ribosomal RNA, 774 nt
Filed under: uncultured Neocallimastigales
Lineage: Eukaryota; Fungi; Neocallimastigomycota; Neocallimastigomycetes; Neocallimastigales
Description: partial large subunit ribosomal RNA
Rfam family: Eukaryotic large subunit ribosomal RNA
Source: RNAcentral
CGCAUCUGUGCAUGCAGCAUAUCAAUAAGCGGAGGAAAAGAAACUAACAAGGAUUCCCUUAGUAACGGCGAGUGAAGCGGGAAGAGCUCAAAUUUGAAAUCUUCAAGGUUUUACCUUGACGAAUUGUAGUUUAAAGGAGUGUUUUCUGUUGAAGUUUUGGUAAAAGUUCUUUGGAAUAGGACAUCAUAGAGGGUGAGAAUCCCGUAUUUGACCAUUAUUUUCAGCUGUGUGAUACACUUUCAAAGAGUCGGAUUGUUUGGGAAUGCAGUCCAAAAUGGGUGGUAAAUUUCAUCUAAAGCUAAAUAUUGGCGAGAGACCGAUAGCGAACAGGUACCGUGAGGGAAAGAUGAAAAGAACUUUGAAAAGAGAGUUAAACAGUACGUGAAAUUGUCAAAAGGGAAGCGUUUGACACCAGUGUUGUUUUCUCGAAAAUCGAUUAAAAAGAGUUUGAUUUUGUUGUGUAUUGACCUUAACAGCUUGCAUUUCAAUUUUCUUGCUUUUUUUAAUGCACUUUUCGUUUAACAAGUCAACAUCAGUUUCUUUUGUUGUAAAAAGGUCAUUGGAAGGUGGCUUUCUUUUCGGAGAAAGUGUUUAUAGCCUUUGACUCCUGCAAUCGGAGAGACUGAGGUCUGCAGCGUAGAUCCUUCGGGGUUAGAUACAUUUGUGCUAAGUUAUAGCUUUUUAUAGACAACUUGUUGACUAUGAUUAGUCUUGUAGCUUACUCGCUUAUGCUAUUUUACCUACGCUUAGGAUGUUGACGCGCGUGUGUGCGUG